GCCCACCUUCCUCUCCUGAGGUUCCCUGAGAUCCCUGACCUCUGGUUCGAUGCCGCCCUCUCCGUUCCUGUGGUGGUGGCUGGACUCGGUGGUAAGAGGCAGAACUCCACUCUAUUCAUGAGAAAAACAUCAGACAAAUUCCAAUAGAGAGGCAUUCUACAAAAUACCUAAUCAGUACUCCUCAAAACUCUUAAGGCCAUCAAAUUCAAUAAAAGACAGAAACUAUCAGUCAAGAGGAGCCCAAGGAGACAAGACAACUAGAUGUAAUAUGAUAUCCUGGAUGGGAUCGUGGAACCGGAAUGAAAGGAAAUCAAACUGUUGAAAAGGAUGUCCCAUUAAGGUGAGCAAGGAUCAGCCAGGAGAGGGUGAGACAGACCAGGGAAGAAGCCUAGACUAUCGG
Molecule: long non-coding RNA, 400 nt
Organism: Diceros bicornis minor
Lineage: Eukaryota; Metazoa; Chordata; Mammalia; Perissodactyla; Rhinocerotidae
Exons: 4
Source: RefSeq, a predicted model, not a curated record